RNAcentral lists this ribosomal RNA (829 nucleotides) under Curvularia lunata. RNAcentral describes it as "SSU rRNA". It matches the Rfam family "Eukaryotic small subunit ribosomal RNA", at positions 57 to 895 of the family's 1831-position model. The record is from RNAcentral. Lineage: Eukaryota; Fungi; Ascomycota; Dothideomycetes; Pleosporales; Pleosporaceae.
GUCCUAAGUUAUAAGCAAUUAUACCGUGAAACUGCGAAUGGCUCAUUAAAUCAGUUAUCGUUUAUUUGAUAAUACCUUACUACUUGGAUAACCGUGGUAAUUCUAGAGCUAAUACAUGCUGAAAAUCCCGACUUCGGAAGGGAUGUGUUUAUUAGAUAAAAAACCAAUGCCCUUCGGGGCUCUUUGGUGAUUCAUGAUAACUUUACGGAUCGCAUAGCCUUGCGCUGGCGACGGUUCAUUCAAAUUUCUGCCCUAUCAACUUUCGAUGGUAAGGUAUUGGCUUACCAUGGUUUCAACGGGUAACGGGGAAUUAGGGUUCGAUUCCGGAGAGGGAGCCUGAGAAACGGCUACCACAUCCAAGGAAGGCAGCAGGCGCGCAAAUUACCCAAUCCCGACACGGGGAGGUAGUGACAAUAAAUACUGAUACAGGGCUCUUUUGGGUCUUGUAAUUGGAAUGAGUACAAUUUAAACCUCUUAACGAGGAACAAUUGGAGGGCAAGUCUGGUGCCAGCAGCCGCGGUAAUUCCAGCUCCAAUAGCGUAUAUUAAAGUUGUUGCAGUUAAAAAGCUCGUAGUUGAAACUUGGGCCUGGCUGGCGGGUCCGCCUCACCGCGUGCACUCGUCCGGCCGGGCCUUCCUUCUGAAGAACCUCAUGCCCUUCACUGGGCGUGUUGGGGAAUCAGGACUUUUACUUUGAAAAAAUUAGAGUGUUCAAAGCAGCCUUUGCUCGAAUACGUUAGCAUGGAAUAAUAAAAUAGGGCGUGCGUUUCUAUUUUGUUGGUUUCUAGAGACGCCCGCAAUGAUUAACAGGAACAGCCGGGGGCAUCAGU